CCGCUUGACCUUCGGUUUCUUUGAGCGCCUAUAUUCUCUCUGCGCCUCACGACCUCUGCAUUUAUGGAGCACUAAUACUAUCUACAGUCCACGCCAACAAAAUAGAAUCUGCCAUUGCCAAGCUUAGCCGCUACGUUCCUCGAGCACGUCCCCUUCCCUUGUUUCCGCGCCAAUGGAGGCUUGGAGGAAGGCCACCCUGUGCCGUGCCCUCCUGGUGCUCCUCGUCGUCGCCGGCGGCGCGGCGGUGUCGACGGCGCAGGGCGACCACUGCUGGAAGGACGACGACCACCACCCGAUCUGCGUCACCGACGACUGCCAGAUGACCUGCAAGGAUCACGGCCACGAGGACGGCCGCUGCAACUGGACGUGGGGGCGCCUGCUGCCCCACUGCCAGUGCCAGUUGGCGAACUGCAACUAGACGGGGCCUGGCCGGCGCGGCGAUUGCCUCGUCGGCCUCUCGACGAGCGGCGAGCGGCGCCCGAGCGGCGGCCUCGCGACGAGCUGCCUGGUGCCCCUGUGCCGCGCUACUGCCAUGCCAUCACAGGCACGUAAAUUAUCCUGUAGCCCUUGGACGCAUCUUAAUUUCUUGUGUCAGAGUAUUGGUGUUAGUAUUCAGAUUUAAUAAUAAUUCUGGAAGUUAUACGGCUCAACAUGAGAGCUGGGAAAUAACAAUCAAUGACUGUUAGUGGAAGGCGUCUGAAAGAAAACGGUUUGCAAACGUUGAUCUCGAUUCAAAGUCAGUUGUUUGUACUGGAGUCUUUGAUUCUGCUGCUAGACUGUAAACUUUUUUA
Long non-coding RNA from Panicum virgatum (switchgrass), 791 nucleotides. RefSeq lists it as uncharacterized. The record is from RefSeq and is a predicted model, not a curated record. The transcript is spliced from 2 exons. NCBI's taxonomy places the organism in Eukaryota, Viridiplantae, Streptophyta, Magnoliopsida, Poales, Poaceae.